RNAcentral lists this long non-coding RNA (1793 nucleotides) under Homo sapiens (human). Lineage: Eukaryota; Metazoa; Chordata; Mammalia; Primates; Hominidae. The record is from RNAcentral.
GGCGGGGUUGGCUCUAACGAAUUUGAAUGAGGAGCCUCAGCGCUUUCGGCGCCAUUUUCGAGUGAUGCCUGAUCUCAUCAAUCUAGCGGGAGAGACAGGAUAACCUGUCCGAGAGUAUAGCGCCACUAUGACUCCGCCGGAAAAAUUACUUUAAAAAUCGCCAAAAAUUACUUGGAGCAAAGGGCAGUCGGCGGAGCUUCGCCAAGGCUGGCGCAGUCGGUUUUGACCUGUAGCAGAGAACCAAUUCUGGAGAACAGCCUCACUUCUUUGAUUGAAUACUUACAUAAUGCAUUGGAACAUGACAUGAGAUUAAGGUUUAAUAAUGAUAGAAUGAAGACCACAAUAAAAGAGACCUCUACUUAGCUCAGCAAUUCUUACCUUUCUUACCUAUUUGAUGAAGAUGUCUUUUGAAAGGUGUACUGCAAGGAACAAAAUGUUUGUAAAUUCUCCUUUUACCAAGGUGGAUAAUUACUGUACCUUCCUCAUGGAAAAAGUUUUAUUUAAAGUGUUAUUUCUCAUUGAAUACUAUCAAAAAGGAAAAAAAAAUGACCUAAACUUUUGAGAUAGAUUUGGCUCUAGUAAGUAUUUAGUUAUAUCACUUGCAUAUCUGGGAGAAGAAAUAAGAGACUAUCAUCAGUACAUUCCCAUCUACUAAAAAAAUUUAUUUUACACAUGUCAAGGGAUUACUUAUAACUUCCAUUUUAUUACUAAUAGCUUGAACCCUUUUAAUGAAGACCUAACUCCUCCACCAGAAAUUUAAGUUUAUGUUCUUACUUUGUUUACUUAUAAAAUACAUCUCAGGUAUUUCGGAUGUCUUUUUUUUUUCUAAGCCUAUAUGAAAUGAAAAAUAUAUUGGCAAAAUAAAUGUUUAAACCUUUUACGUUAAAAUUACUUUGAAAGAUGAAAAGUUAGUGCUGUUUUUGUCUACGUUAUACUGAAAUUAAAUGUUUAUAAUUUAUAUUUUGGGUUUAUGUAUAAAUCAUGGAAUUUAUGCAAAAAUAUGAGUAGUACAGAUUCUCCUCUAAUUCUGUAGGACUUUGAAUAAUGUGAUAUUUUUCUUAUAAUUGGACCCUUGUGUUUUGAAGAAAUGCCAACUGCUUGAAGAAUCUCCUUGUUAUUUGUAUUAUUUGCUAUAGGGUUAGAUGUUGAGAAAUUCUGCUGACAAAAAAUUUUAAGCCAGUUUUACACUAAAUGUUCCUCAGUCUGAUUAAUUUGUUAUUGGAUGUAUUCUGUAUCUUUCUUUUGUAAUUUGUAACUUUUAUCCACUUAGCACGAAUGAUUCUAUUAAAGAAAAUCAUUAGGAAGUGGUAGAAACUUUAAAUCGCCCCAGAGUUUGCCUGUUUCCAUAUUUUAUUAUCUUAUAAUCUUCGGGAGUGCUUACACUUAUGGAGCUAACAUUUUCAGAGAUACAGCUUCUUAUAGUAACACUAAAACUUUCUUCCUCUUUGGACUGAAUACCUAUAAUUAUAACUAUAUGGUAGUUUAAGUUUCCUUGUGAUUAGUCAAAAAUACCAUUUUAGUAUGAAGCAAUGAAGUCUAUUAUUUGUUGUCCCAUAAUUGAGAAAGCUUAAAUACACCUUUUAUUAAGAGUUUGUAAAUUCUAGCUUAGUCUACACAGAUUUUUAUAUCAAUUUGUUUAUAUUUUUAUUAAUGUCAUUUCUGGAAGUGUGAAAAUGUUAAUGUUCAACAAGCAACAUUAAAAAUAGAUUUGAAACAUUUAUAUAUAGAGAGGUACACAUUUAUUUACUGUUUAGGUACUGAAGAUUAUCACUUAAUAAAAAAUAUAUAUCCCA